Molecule: long non-coding RNA, 982 nt
Filed under: Homo sapiens (human)
Lineage: Eukaryota; Metazoa; Chordata; Mammalia; Primates; Hominidae
Description: non-protein coding lnc-WDR1-3:2
Source: RNAcentral
CAUCUUAGUCCCCCAGGAGGCCAGAGCAUCCCUGAUCUGAGAGUGAACAGAAGGCCUGGCACCAGGCCAAGGGUCGAGGCAAAGAGGACUUCGCUCCACUUCUGUUGAGAAGUGUUCUUUGUACCCAAUGGUACAAAGACCAGGGAUUUUGGUGACACAGCAGCCCGAGCCCAGCCUGGGUGCCUAGGAUGCAGCUUAGCUGGUCAACUGUCAGUACUACCAGGACUUGGCCCUUGGAAACCUGCGGGGUGGCAGUGCUCUACCAGGAGGGGGCCAACUCGACAAAACCAGAAAGGGUGAAACGUCCUGCACCAGAGAGUUUCAGACAUCAGCGAUGGACUGGUUGAUUGGUAGUGUUUUUGCUGAGACUGAUGGUGGACUCCCCAUCUGAGAGAUCCCAGAUUCCUUCAGGUCAAAGGUCAGCAGCUACACUGGAGCUUUCCUGACCCCCAUGUCCAGUGCCAGGUGCUGUUCUAGGAGCUGUGUACCUACUGUUUCAAUCCUCAUAACACUCCUGUGAGGCUGGCAUCAUUGUCUGCACACCUGUUUACAGAUGAGGACACAGAAGCCCCAUGAGUGGAAGGGAUUUGCCUCACGCCACAGUGAACAAGGGGAAGAGGCAGGAUCAGAACUCAGGGAGCCUGGCCGCGAGUCCUGCACUGCUCACAACAGGCUCCAGCUGCCCUCGUAUGAAGACAAGAGCUGUAAGGAUGAAGGCACACAAAAUGCCAAGUGAGAGCUCUGGCUACAGUCCCUCUCACCAUCUCCCAAGGCAAACCCUGCGGCUGUGGCCUUGGCUUUGCCAGAAACUGAUUCCAUGCUGCUCCCCCAGGGGACCUCGAAACUGCAGGUGUGCCAGGACAUUCCUGGCUGACAAGUGCGGGGUCGCAGGAGGGCUGGACGGCGUGCCUCUGUGUCCAUCAGCUCCUUGCGUGGGUGCGCUCAUGUACGGGGUUUAAUGAAUGAAAUGAUUAAAACCUGG